CCUACGGGAGGCAGCAGUGAGGAAUAUUGGUCAAUGGGCGCGAGCCUGAACCAGCCAAGUAGCGUGAAGGAUGACUGCCCUACGGGUUGUAAACUUCUUUUAUAAAGGAAUAAAGUGAGGCACGUGUGCCUUUUUGUAUGUACUUUAUGAAUAAGGAUCGGCUAACUCCGUGCCAGCAGCCGCGGUAAUACGGAGGAUCCGAGCGUUACCCGGAUUUAUUGGGUUUAAAGGGAGCGUAGGUGGGUUGUUAAGUCAGUUGUGAAAGUUUGCGGCUCAACCGUAGAAUUGCAGUUGAUACUGGCAGUCUUGAGUACAGUUGAGGGAGGCGGAAUUCGUGGUGUAGCGGUGAAAUGCUUAGAUAUCACGAAGAACUCCGAUUGCGAAGGCAGCUUACUAAGCUGCCACUGACGUUGAUGCUCGAAAGUGUGGGGAGCAAACAGGAUUAGAUACCCCAGUAGUC
This 460-nucleotide ribosomal RNA is filed under the name uncultured bacterium. Its description in RNAcentral is "partial 16S ribosomal RNA". It matches the Rfam family "Bacterial small subunit ribosomal RNA", at positions 338 to 795 of the family's 1533-position model. The record is from RNAcentral.